Molecule: ribosomal RNA, 449 nt
Filed under: Melanoleuca decembris
Lineage: Eukaryota; Fungi; Basidiomycota; Agaricomycetes; Agaricales; Pluteaceae
Description: eukaryotic LSU rRNA
Rfam family: Eukaryotic large subunit ribosomal RNA (bases 306-449)
Source: RNAcentral
AUGUGAAUUGCAGAAUUCAGUGAAUCAUCGAAUCUUUGAACGCACCUUGCGCUCCUUGGUAUUCCGAGGAGCAUGCCUGUUUGAGUGUCAUUAAAUUCUCAAUCCUUUCUGGGUUUACUCUCAGUUGGGCUUGGAUAUGGGGGUUUUGCCGGCUUUGUAAAACAAACAAAGUCAGCUCUCCUGAAAGACAUUAGCAAGACUCUUGUUGCAACCUUCUAUCUGGUGUGAUAAUUAUCUACAUCAUAGAUUUGUACACUAUGUCUAGCUUCUAACAGUCCAUUAAAUUGGACAAAACUCUGACAAUUUGACCUCAAAUCAGGUAGGACUACCCGCUGAACUUAAGCAUAUCAAUAAGCGGAGGAAAAGAAACUAACAAGGAUUCCCCUAGUAACUGCGAGUGAAGCGGGAAAAGCUCAAAUUUAAAAUCUGGCAGUCUCUGGCUGUCCGAG